AAGCAAUUGGAAGACUGUUUUAACAGAAAUCGUCUUGAUGAGUCUUUUUUGAGUCCCCUUGACGAUUAAAAAACGAUCUAAUCUCCUGGGCGAUCGAAAGAAGACUCAUAAAUGACCCUUUCAUAUGCUCAAAGUAUGAUUGCUUUGAAAUGCAAAAGCGAAAUGCAAAGCAAUCGUCAAAUGAACAUGCAGCACAUGCCGAAAUGUGCAAAUUUUGUCAUUCGAUCGUGAAAGUGCAAGUGAAGUGCAAGUGCGAAGUGCAAACAUAAUACAUAAACAUUAUCAAAUAAAUAAGGUGAUUAUGUCAGUCAAACAAUUGCAUCGCGUGGCCAAAAGAGGGGCCCAUAAACUAUUAUUUCCUGAAAAGGAAAU
Drosophila navojoa is the source of this 372-nucleotide long non-coding RNA. RefSeq lists it as uncharacterized. Lineage: Eukaryota; Metazoa; Arthropoda; Insecta; Diptera; Drosophilidae. The record is from RefSeq and is a predicted model, not a curated record.